ACCUUACCAGGCCUUGACAUCCAAUGAACUUUCUACAGAUAGAUUGGUGCCCUCGGGAAAUUGAGACAGGUGCUGCAUGGCUGUCUCACCUCGUGUCGUGAGAUGUUGGGUUAAGUCCCGUAACGAGCGCAACCCUUGUCCUUAGUUACCACCACGUAAUGGUGGGCACUCUAAGGAGACUGCCGGUGACAAACCGGAGGAAGGUGGGGAUGACGUCAAGUCAUCAUGGCCCUUACGGCCUGGGCUACACACGUGCUACAAUGGUCGGUACAAAGGGUUGCCAAGCCGCGAGGUGGAGCUAAUCCCAUAAAACCGAUCUAGUCCGGAUCGCAGUCUGCAACUCGACUGCGUGAAGUCGGAAUCGCUAGUAAUC
Molecule: ribosomal RNA, 373 nt
Filed under: uncultured bacterium
Lineage: Bacteria
Description: bacterial SSU rRNA
Rfam family: Bacterial small subunit ribosomal RNA
Source: RNAcentral